CGGGAAACUGGGGAUAAUACCCCAUAGCCUAUGGAUGCUGGAAUGCUCUGUAGCCGAAAGGUCCGCCGCCACAGGAUGAGUCUGCGGCCGAUUAGGUUGUUGUUGGGGUAACGGCCCAACAAGCCUGUAAUCGGUACGGGUUGUGGGAGCAAGAGCCCGGAGAUGGAUUCUGAGACACGAAUCCAGGCCCUACGGGGCGCAGCAGGCGCGAAAACUUUGCAAUGCGGGAAACCGUGACAAGGGAACUCCGAGUGCCCGUAAAUUCGGGCUGUCCGCCAGUUUAAACAACUGGUGAAGAAAGGGCCGGGCAAGACCGGUGCCAGCCGCCGCGGUAACA
RNAcentral lists this ribosomal RNA (337 nucleotides) under uncultured archaeon. RNAcentral's name for it is "partial 16S ribosomal RNA". It matches the Rfam family "Archaeal small subunit ribosomal RNA", at positions 133 to 475 of the family's 1478-position model. The record is from RNAcentral.